CAAACGACUCUCGGCAACGGAUAUCUCGGCUCACGCAUCGAUGAAGAACGUAGCAAAAUGCGAUACUUGGUGUGAAUUGCAGAAUCCCGUGAACCAUCGAGUUUUUGAACGCAAGUUGCGCCCGAAGCCUUUCGGCCGAGGGCACGUCUGCCUGGGCGUCAUGC
Molecule: ribosomal RNA, 164 nt
Filed under: Pachystegia insignis
Lineage: Eukaryota; Viridiplantae; Streptophyta; Magnoliopsida; Asterales; Asteraceae
Description: 5.8S ribosomal RNA
Rfam family: 5.8S ribosomal RNA
About the family: 5.8S ribosomal RNA (5.8S rRNA) is a component of the large subunit of the eukaryotic ribosome. It is transcribed by RNA polymerase I as part of the 45S precursor that also contains 18S and 28S rRNA.
Source: RNAcentral